AACGAACGCUGGCGGCAGGCUUAACACAUGCAAGUCGAGCGCAUCCUUCGGGGUGAGCGGCGGACGGGUGAGUAACGCGUGGGAACGUGCCCUCUUCUACGGAAUAGCCUCGGGAAACUGAGAGUAAUGCCGUAUACGCCCGCAAGGGGAAAGAUUUAUCGGAGGAGGAUCGGCCCGCGUUGGAUUAGGUAGUUGGUGGGGUAACGGCCUACCAAGCCGACGAUCCAUAGCUGGUUUGAGAGGAUGAGCAGCCACACUGGGACUGAGACACGGCCCAGACUCCUACGGGAGGGAGCAGUGGGGAAUCUUGGACAAUGGGGGCAACCCUGAUCCAGCCAUGCCGCGUGAUCGAUGAAGGCCUUAGGGUUGUAAAGAUCUUUCAGCUGGGAAGAUAAUGACGGUACCAGCAGAAGAAGCCCCGGCUAACUCCGUG
Molecule: ribosomal RNA, 433 nt
Filed under: uncultured bacterium
Lineage: Bacteria
Description: partial 16S ribosomal RNA
Rfam family: Bacterial small subunit ribosomal RNA
Source: RNAcentral